AGAGUUUGAUCAUGGCUCAGGACGAACGCUGGCGGCGUGCCUAACACAUGCAAGUCGAACGAGAUCCAUGGGAGCUUGCUCCCGGAAGAUCUAGUGGCGAACGGGUGAGUAACACGUGAGAAACCUGCCCUGGAGUGGGGAAUAACUCGGGGAAACUCGAGCUAACACCGCAUACCCUCGGAUGGUCGCAUGGCCGACCGAGGAAAGAUUUAUCGCUCUAGGAGGGUCUCGCGGCCUAUCAGCUAGUUGUGGGGUAACGGCCUACCAAGGCAACGACGGGUAGCUGGUUUGAGAGAACGAUCAGCCACACUGGGACUGAGACACGGCCCAGACUCCUACGGGAGGCAGCAGUGGGGAAUCUUGCGCAAUGGGCGAAAGCCUGACGCAGCAACGCCGCGUGCGGGAUGACGGCCUUCGUGGUUGUAAACCGCUUUCAGCAGGGACGAAAAUGACGGUACCCGCAGAAGAAGCCCCGGCUAACUACGUG
This 487-nucleotide ribosomal RNA is filed under the name uncultured bacterium. RNAcentral describes it as "bacterial SSU rRNA". It matches the Rfam family "Bacterial small subunit ribosomal RNA", at positions 8 to 507 of the family's 1533-position model. The record is from RNAcentral.